CAGAGUUCUGGAGGCUGGGAAGUCCAAUACCAAGGUGCUGGCCUCCUGUGAGGGUCUUUUUGCUGGAUCAUCCCAUCCCAAGGCUUUGAGGCAAACUUCCCUAUGACCUGACCAAGCAUCAUGAGGAACUCCUGUCAAGGAAGACCCUGGGUCCCUGAACUGGACACAUCAGGGUCUCAAACCCAGUCUCAGCAAAGGACUUCUGGUUCCUCAUCUCUAAAGUGAGAAUAAAGUGUCUACCUCAUAAGAGGAUUCAAUAAAAUAAUGGAUAUAAAAUCUUUA
Long non-coding RNA from Pan troglodytes (chimpanzee), 282 nucleotides. RefSeq lists it as uncharacterized. The record is from RefSeq and is a predicted model, not a curated record. The transcript is spliced from 2 exons. NCBI's taxonomy places the organism in Eukaryota, Metazoa, Chordata, Mammalia, Primates, Hominidae.